GGAAGGCUAUCAACGCCGUAGCAAACAACCCGGAGCUGUACGACACCAGCUGCUUUGUGUACCGAGACAGGAAUAUAAAGGACCGAGCUCGGAGGAAGAAACGUGAAGAGAUCGGGCAACCUGAACCAACUGAUUCUGCAGCAGAGCAUCCCCUGUUGCUUCUCCUUGCUCCCCAGUCCCUGAGCUCCUGCUGCUGCACCCACAGGCCCAGAGAGGAGGACAGCUCUGAGGCAGAUGAGGGACGUGUCCCAGGACGGUCCAUCGGCGGUGGAGCUGGCCAUCCUGGUGUCCCUGAAGAGGCCACGCCAGUCUCCAAUGGCGCAUUUCCUCCUCAGCCUUGUUCCUGCUCUGGAGAGCAGCUGGGUCCUUUUUAUUCCAGUCUCUCUUUAAAUACUUAUAUUUUAUAUAUUUAUGUUUAAUGUUUUUCUGUUUGAGAAUUUUAAUAUUAUUUCAAAUAAAUUUUUAUAAUGACUUUUACUGCCUUACUUUCAGUUAAUGUAUUUUCUUUUGCAUUAUGCACAUUUUAUAUGCCAUUAGGUCAUUUAUUGUAACAAUUCUCAAGUAGGAACUAUUGUGCUACAUGUUGGUUCCACUGGUGCACCUGAGGGAGAUGCACACCCAUGUUGAUGUGAGCAUGGCAAAUCGAAGCGAGAGAAGCUAAUUUAAGUCAGAGUAGUUCGUCUCUUAAAGUAUCUGUAAAGCGCUCAUUUCUGCCUCAAGGCAUGGGUCAGCCAGCGAGGUAUGUUUAUAUGUCAUAUAGAUCAUUUUAUGUCUUUAUUUCACUCGUCUUACUAUUUCAUCGAAUUGUAUGUUAUGUUUUAGUUCGACGGUGGCGUAGUUGUGAUUAAGGUGAAGCUGUAACAACCCCAAGACCUUACAACGAACAUUAAAGACAACUUCAUG
Molecule: long non-coding RNA, 903 nt
Organism: Oreochromis aureus
Lineage: Eukaryota; Metazoa; Chordata; Actinopteri; Cichliformes; Cichlidae
Source: Ensembl